This 498-nucleotide ribosomal RNA is filed under the name Polypedates braueri (Java treefrog). RNAcentral describes it as "partial large subunit ribosomal RNA". It matches the Rfam family "Bacterial large subunit ribosomal RNA", at positions 1844 to 2561 of the family's 2925-position model. Lineage: Eukaryota; Metazoa; Chordata; Amphibia; Anura; Rhacophoridae. The record is from RNAcentral.
AAUAAGAGGUCCAGCCUGCCCAGUGAAUUUUUAACGGCCGCGGUAUCCUAACCGCGCGAAGGUAGCAUAAUCACUUGUUCUUUAAAUGGGGACUCGUAUCAACGGCAUCACGAGGGUUAUACUGUCUCCUCUUUUUGAUCAGUGAAAUUGAUCUUCCCGUGAAGAAGCGGGAAUACUUAUAUAAGACGAGAAGACCCCAUGGAGCUUUAAACCAAAUAGCAACUUAACCAUAUAUUGCCCAAUAAUUUUAAGCCCUUGCUACAAGGUUUUUGGUUGGGGUGACCGCGGAGUAAAGCACAUCCUCCACGACGGAAAGACUAUAAUCUUUAUUUAAGAACUACAAUUCUAGAAAUUAGUAUACUAACGUUUACUGACCCGACAAUCGAUCAACGGAACAAGUUACCCUGGGGAUAACAGCGCAAUCUACUUCGAGAGCCCAUAUCGACAAGUAGGCUUACGACCUCGAUGUUGGAUCAGGGUAUCCCAGUGGUGCAGCCG